CAGUCGCCACGGUAAUACGUAGGUGGCAAGCGUUGUCCGGAAUUAUUGGGCGUAAAGGGCUCGCAGGCGGUUUCUUAAGUCUGAUGUGAAAGCCCCCGGCUCAACCGGGGAGGGUCAUUGGAAACUGGGAAACUUGAGUGCAGAAGAGGAGAGUGGAAUUCCACGUGUAGCGGUGAAAUGCGUAGAGAUGUGGAGGAACACCAGCGGCGAAGGCGACUCUCUGGUCUGUAACUGACGCUGAGGAGCGAAAGCGUGGGGAGCGAACAGGAUUAGAUACCCGAGUAGUCCCUGUCUCUUAUAC
This 301-nucleotide ribosomal RNA is filed under the name uncultured bacterium. RNAcentral's name for it is "partial 16S ribosomal RNA". It matches the Rfam family "Bacterial small subunit ribosomal RNA", at positions 509 to 807 of the family's 1533-position model. The record is from RNAcentral.